Molecule: transfer RNA, 72 nt
Filed under: Fukomys damarensis (Damara mole-rat)
Lineage: Eukaryota; Metazoa; Chordata; Mammalia; Rodentia; Bathyergidae
Rfam family: tRNA
About the family: Transfer RNA (tRNA) molecules are approximately 80 nucleotides in length. Their secondary structure includes four short double-helical elements and three loops (D, anti-codon, and T loops). Further hydrogen bonds mediate the characteristic L-shaped molecular structure. tRNAs have two regions of fundamental functional importance: the anti-codon, which is responsible for specific mRNA codon recognition, and the 3' end, to which the tRNAs corresponding amino acid is attached (by aminoacyl-tRNA synthetases). tRNAs cope with the degeneracy of the genetic code in two manners: having more than one tRNA (with a specific anti-codon) for a particular amino acid; and 'wobble' base-pairing, i.e. permitting non-standard base-pairing at the 3rd anti-codon position.
Source: Rfam by way of RNAcentral
UGGAGUACAGCUUAUUGAUAGAAUACUUGCCUUGCAUGCAAGAGACCCUGAGUUCAAUACUUAAUACUGCAA